UCAGAGAAGAAGCUCUGACGGUAUCUGAGGAAUCAGCAUCGGCUAACUCUGUGCCAGCAGCCGCGGUAAUACGGAGGAUGCAAGCGUUAUCCGGAUUGAUUGGGCGUAAAGCGUCUGUAGGUGGUUACGCUAGUCGGCUGUUAAAGAUCAGGGCUGAACCCUGAGCAAGCAGUCGAAACUGCGUGGCUGGAGUACGGUAGGGGCAGAGGGAAUUCCCGGUGUAGCGGUGAAAUGCGUAGAUAUCGG
This 246-nucleotide ribosomal RNA is filed under the name uncultured prokaryote. RNAcentral describes it as "partial 16S ribosomal RNA". It matches the Rfam family "Bacterial small subunit ribosomal RNA", at positions 439 to 700 of the family's 1533-position model. The record is from RNAcentral.